UACAGAGGGUGCAAGCGUUGCUCGGAAUUAUUGGGCGUAAAGGGUAGGUAGGUGGUCUCGUUUGUCUGAGGUGAAAGCCCUGGGCUUAACCUAGGAAGUGCCUCGGAAACGGCGAGACUGGAGUCCUGGAGAGGGUCGUGGAAUUCCCGGUGUAGCGGUGAAAUGCGUAGAGAUCGGGAGGAAUACCAGAGGCGAAGGCGACGACCUGGACAGGCACUGACACUCAACUACGAAAGCGUGGGGAUCAAACAGG
Molecule: ribosomal RNA, 253 nt
Filed under: uncultured bacterium
Lineage: Bacteria
Description: partial 16S ribosomal RNA
Rfam family: Bacterial small subunit ribosomal RNA
Source: RNAcentral